RNAcentral lists this small nucleolar RNA (117 nucleotides) under Sorex araneus (European shrew). Its description in RNAcentral is "Small nucleolar RNA ACA64 (ENSSARG00000018464.1)". It matches the Rfam family "Small nucleolar RNA ACA64". Lineage: Eukaryota; Metazoa; Chordata; Mammalia; Eulipotyphla; Soricidae. The record is from RNAcentral.
GUUGAAAAUCACCUGUGGUUUUGACCAUGGCCAUGGGUAAGAUGGUGUAGCCCAGAGCCAGUGGGGCUCAGGACUCACUCUCCAGUGUAGAGAGAUGAAGCCGUGGCACCUCCUGCC